This is a non-coding RNA of Paramuricea clavata, 97 nucleotides long. The record is from the annotation of a GenBank genome assembly. NCBI's taxonomy places the organism in Eukaryota, Metazoa, Cnidaria, Anthozoa, Malacalcyonacea, Plexauridae.
CAAAGUUGAUCGUGUUUAUGACGUCGAUUAUCAACGUCAUAAACACCAAAGUUGAUCGUGUUUAUGACGUCGAAUAUCGACGUCAUAAACACCAAAG